Molecule: ribosomal RNA, 465 nt
Filed under: uncultured bacterium
Lineage: Bacteria
Description: partial 16S ribosomal RNA
Rfam family: Bacterial small subunit ribosomal RNA
Source: RNAcentral
GACGAACGCUGGCGGCGUGCUUAACACAUGCAAGUCGAACGGAAAGGCCCUGCUUGCAGGGUACUCGAGUGGCGAACGGGUGAGUAACACGUGGGUGAUCUGCCCUGCACUUCGGGAUAAGCCUGGGAAACUGGGUCUAAUACCGGAUAGGAGCCAUUUUUAGUGUGAUGGUUGGAAAGUUUUUUCGGUGUAGGAUGAGCUCGCGGCCUAUCAGCUUGUUGGUGGGGUAAUGGCCUACCACGGCGGCGACGGGUAGCCGGCCUGAGGGGGUGGACGGCCACAUUGGGACUGAGAUACGGCCCAGACUCCGACGGGAGGCAGCAGUGGGGAAUAUUGCACAAUGGGCGCAAGCCUGAUGCAGCGACGCCGCGUGGGGGAUGACGGCCUUCGGGUUGUAAACUCCUUUCGCUAGGGACGAAGCUUUUUGUGACGGUACCUAGAUAAGAAGCACCGGCUAACUACGUG